RNAcentral lists this ribosomal RNA (253 nucleotides) under uncultured bacterium. Its description in RNAcentral is "partial 16S ribosomal RNA". It matches the Rfam family "Bacterial small subunit ribosomal RNA", at positions 524 to 776 of the family's 1533-position model. The record is from RNAcentral.
UACGGAGGGUGCAGGCGUUGUUCGGAAUCAUUGGGCGUAAAGCGCGUGUAGGCGGCCUGGUAAGUCGGGUGUGAAAUCCCGGGGCCCAACCCCGGAACUGCAUUCGAAACUGCCUCGCUAGAGUCCCGGAGAGGAAGGCGGAAUUCCCGGUGUAGAGGUGAAAUUCGUAGAGAUCGGGAGGAACACCAGCGGCGAAGGCGGCCUUCUGGACGGUGACUGACGAUGAGACGCGAAAGAGUGGGGAGCAAACAGG